Molecule: ribosomal RNA, 466 nt
Filed under: uncultured bacterium
Lineage: Bacteria
Description: partial 16S ribosomal RNA
Rfam family: Bacterial small subunit ribosomal RNA
Source: RNAcentral
GAUGAACGCUGGCGGCGUGCUUAACACAUGCAAGUCGAACGAUGAAGCCCAGCUUGCUGGGUGGAUUAGUGGCGAACGGGUGAGUAACACGUGAGUAACCUGCCCUUAACUCUGGGAUAAGCCUGGGAAACUGGGUCUAAUACCGGAUAGGAGCGUCCACCGCAUGGUGGGUGUUGGAAAGAUUUAUCGGUUUUGGAUGGGCUCGCGGCCUAUCAGCUUGUUGGUGAGGUAAUGGCUCACCAAGGCGACGACGGGUAGCCGGCCUGAGAGGGUGACCGGCCACACUGGGACUGAGACACGGCCCAGACUCCUACGGGAGGCAGCAGUGGGGAAUAUUGCACAAUGGGCGAAAGCCUGAUGCAGCGACGCCGCGUGAGGGAUGACGGCCUUCGGGUUGUAAACCUCUUUCAGUAGGGAAGAAGCGAAAGUGACGGUACCUGCAGAAGAAGCACCGGCUAACUACGUG